Molecule: long non-coding RNA, 14777 nt
Organism: Orcinus orca (killer whale)
Lineage: Eukaryota; Metazoa; Chordata; Mammalia; Artiodactyla; Delphinidae
Exons: 5
Source: RefSeq, a predicted model, not a curated record
CUGGGCCUGUGGGGAACUGCUGGCAGCAGACACUUGCCAGGGUUGCUGAUGACGAUGCCAGGAUGCACCCAUGCAACACCAUGCUGGUUCAGGCGCCCCCUCUUAAAGGCUCAGCGCGUAACUCCCACCCCAGGGUCUAGCCUUAGCUGCGCAGGGUCCCUGAUCAGGGUCAGCUCAUCUCUUCUGCAGCAGGAGGGUGGUGCAUGUGAGUGUGAAAGUGAGAGAACGUGGGUGUGUGAGUAGACAGACGAGUGAAAGGAUCAUGUGUGAUGAGUGUAGGUGAGUGUGUGCUGUGUGUGACCACAUAUGACCAUGUGCGUGUAAUGAGUGGACGUGUGCAAUGCCAUGUGUGCAGGUAUACAAACCAGCUGGGGAUGUGGGUGGGAACGGCUGUCUAUGUCCAUGUGUACAUUCAUGGGUUUGUGUGUAACAGUUUCUGGGUAAGCUGUGUGGUGUGUGGAUGUGUGUACACGUGACUCUGUGUGACAGCAGAGAUGUGAAUUUGAGUCCUGGUUCUGCCAUUUCCUAAAUGUGUUGAAAACUUAAAUAAAUCCCUUCCCCUCCUUCUGUAAAAUGGGAUGGCAUAGACAAGAUAUCUCUUAAGUUCCCUUCUAGCUUUGAUAUUCAGUGACCAGUUUAGGAGUUGAGCACAAGUGUGUGAAAGUUGUGUGUGCACCUGUGUGUGUGUGCACACGCGGCAGCAGAGUGGUGCUGUGCAAAGGGCAUGGCUUUGAAUUCUGAUUCCACGUUUAACAGUUAUGUGGUCUCAGCUUAGUCCCUUCCCCUCUCUGAGCCUCAGUUUCCUCGUCUGCAGAUGCUAGUGAUUCUUACAGGGCUGCUGUGAGGACUAGGAAAUAUUGUUUGCAAUGGGUCUAGCUUGGAAUCUGGCUGAGUUCCCUCUGCAAGAGAUGCAUGUGUGUGUGUGCAUGUCUGUGUGGAUAUGCGUGUGUGCACGUGGACGGCCAUGCUCACAUGCUUGACUGUGCAGGUUGGUCUGGAAAACAGAGUAAUUGAUCUAGAUCACUCCUGCCCUCUGGGGUUUCUGACUGCUUGGGACACAGCCACCCAGGAGAGGUAGAGCUGGGCAGUCAAUUUCCAGCUACCCACCUGGCCCCACGUGAUUCUGAGGGCUGCCCCAGACUGUCACAUGGGCGCAGUGGCCUGGAAAGGAGGAUUGGUGUGGGCAGGAGACAGGCCUCCUAAAUCCGCUUAGUGCCCACCCCACUAUUCGGGGUAUUAGAGACUAAAGAAAUUCUUCUUCUUCUUAGAGGGUCAACUGCCAACCUGGGAUGGUGGCUGAGCUGAGCGUGAACCCCUGAGCCCCAUGCCCAUCUAGAAUGAGGCUUCAGAGUGGAGGGCCAGGAACAGACAGGGUCCUGCCCUCAGAGAGCUCCCAGCCAGAUGGAGAGAGCCAGGAGAGUCAGGCUCGAAAGCGGGGUGGGGGUAAGGAAGGUUUUCUAGCAGGAAGCAGGCUGGAGGGACUCGUAGAGGCUGGAAAGGGAAAGGAGAGCCUUCUGGAUGGGAAGACCAGUGUGAACAAAUGUGGAGUGAUGGGAAUGAGCAACGUGUGUGUGUGUGUGUGUGUGUGUGUGUGUAUGUGUGUGUGUAGGGGACGACAGGAAGAGGGUGGUGUAGGGGACCUUGGAGAACAUCAGAUCCAAUCUUCCAUUUUCUUGGUGAGGAAAUGAAGGUAGAGAAGGGAGAGGAUACGGAUGCGCCUCUGGGCAGAGUGCAGUCAUUCUGCUUCCCAACUGGAGUUUAGGGUCUGCCCUUAAUUCCUGGGUUCUGAAGAGGGGUGUCAAGCUGAGCUGCCACGGGCCCUCCUUUAGCUGGUCCCACAGGGUUCUUGAUGAACUGGGGCAGAUGGUGAGCCGUGAUGUGUGUCUUCAGGCCAAUGGAAGGCUCUGGGGCUAAACAAUCUAGAGCAGCUACUAACACUUGGACCUAAUCUGCCUGGGCAGGUGCCAAACUCAGAUCCUUGACACCCAGAGAAGAUCACCAACACUAGACCACAGGUACUAGAUGGGCUUCCAAGACACACCAGGAAAGGCUCCAACAACCUGACCUGGAGAGGAACACCACACCCAGACUCUGAACCCGGAGAAACAAUCCCCACACCUGGACCAGGUACCUCUGGACCAGCUUCCAAUGCAAACUUUGCCUGAGUGGAUCCCUACAACUCCAUCCAGAAACUCAGUGAAGGUCCCAACAUCUAGAGGAGAGCACCCAGAGAGGGUCCCGACACCUGAACUCUGAACAAUGAGAUCCCAACACGGGCCCAGAUGACAUCUGAUUGACUUCCAACUCAGACACAGAACACCCUGAUUGUAUCCCAGCAACCUGACCCAGAACACCCGGAGCUGGUCCCAACACCUAACAGACCCCCCCUGCCCCGCUCCGUCCCUUCCGCCCCCAAUCCAUCUUCGGAUGAGCUCAUCCCGAGAGGCUUUCGCAGGUUCCAGGGCUUUUUCUGGGGGAAAUCUGUGGUCGUCCUUCGGGAUGCCUGGGAUGACGAGGGGGCAGGAGGCGAGGCCCACGCCCUUUGCAGGGAGGGCUGGGGGUCCAGCUUGAGGAGUGGGCUUUGGCUGCUGCCUGCUGGAGGGUGGGGUGGGAGCGGACGGGCGGGGAGUGCGCGGCAGCCCCCUCCAGCCGCCCCCAGCGCUGGGCGGAAACCGUGCGCCCUGCGAGGCCCAGCAGAUUCCGUGCCGCGCGCCCCCCAAACAGCCCGCGGGGCGCUGGGCGCGGGGCCAGGAAAUCCGGCGCCGGCCCUUGAAGCGGCCCCAGGUCGGGCGGGGGCGGGUGGCCGCUGGCACCGAAGCCGCCGAGCAACGUGACCGCGCGGCCCCACCGCGGCCUCGGGUCCCCACCGGGACAAGGCGGCCUCUGUGCCGACGCAGCUGAUCCCAAAUCCCUUCCGGCUGACAGCCCGCGCCGGCUGGGGCCCGGCGGCGUGGGAACCGGGUCGAGUGGGGCCGGGGGUGAGGUGGGCGCGAGGGGAGCGGAAUCUAGUGGCGGCGCCCCCGCCCAGAGGCCGUCUGCUCCGGACAGCGUAUUUCGCUCCCCGAGGGUAGCAAGAGUUACCGCACUUCCCAGACAGGGAGACUGAGGCUCGCGGUAGUGAGCAGUAGUCUUAGCCCAUUUCUUGGUUAAAACCAGGGAUCUAAAUUAAGCCCCCGUGAUAAACUACAUACAUUGUUGAGAGCUGGGCGGCAUCGCGAUCCCCAUUUUAUAAAUGAGGGAACUGAGGCUCAGAGAGUUGAAGCCACCUGUCCAAGGUUCCCAGACAGGUGGAGUGAGGGGGGGACUGGAGCCACCUCUGCUGACUCAACGCGGGGCGCUAUGUGUAUGCAGUCCCCCUGCUGGACCCCCUGGCCACCAGGUAGUCAUGGAACAUCCCAUGGGAGGUUCUGGGGAGGGUGUAAGCCCCUGGGUCCAUCUGGUCAAGGAGUUGUGUUUCUGGGUUCCUGAGUGUGGUGGACCCAGUGAAAGUGUGGAGUUAAUCUCCUGGAGGACGGAUAUGGGGCUGAAGUGGGGAGACAUCAGAGUGAGGGAGACAGGUGUGGGGAUGGAGAGGGGCUUGGAGGGAAAUGAACCAGGGGGAUGCCUGCUGAGUGCCCCUCUGCUCUGCCCUUAACAGCUGGGGACAAAGCUGGAAUCUGAGAGGCUGGAGAAAGGGUCAUGGAGGGGUGAUGCGCUAGAACAGCCUCACCCUGGCCUCUGGGAACGGGAUGGGGAUUGUCCGGUGGAUUCUUUGGAAUUAAAAAGUGGCACCUUCUUAGUGCAGGGGGAGCCUGGCUAGACCCUGGGUUUUGUCCAGCCCCUGUCCUAUCUCCCAGGACUGGGGCAGCUCAGGAUUUUUCCCCCUUUCCUUGACUAAUGUUUGAUCUAGACAGGCAGUGUGGGGGGCCGGGGGAGGAGGGAGGAUGGCAGGGGCUGGGGGUGGGGUGUUUGCCGAGUGUGCACGGGAGUCUCCCGGGGUGAACGUGCCUGUGUGUGUCUGCGCACGGGCUGCAUAUCUCUGUGUGACGGUCUUAUGUGCGUGUGCCUCUGAGAAUGAGCCUGUCUGGCGGGACAGGCAUAUUGUUUCUGCGUGUGUUGUUUGUGUGUGAUCCCUUUUGCUUCAUCUGGAUCUAUGUUAUCUCUCUGGGUCUGCGUGUUUGUGGCUUUACUGGUAUCAGUGAGUCUUUGUGUGUGGGCCUCCCUCCCGGCCCCCCCGCCGCAUCAGGGCCCCGAAUGCCACUUUGCUGCCUAAGUGUGCUGAGGAAUGUGAGGGGCGAGGGGCGAGGGGAGCACACGUACUGGGCUGCGGGCCUGCUGGUUAUGGAAAACUACUGAGGCCUCCUGGGGAUGGGCUGGCCAAACCGGCCCAGAGCCUGGCUCGGCAGCUUUUGCCCUCCCAGGCUCCUCCCCCUCUUCUCUGCAGGGCUGGGGACCUGCCGAGAUGGGUCUUCCAUUAAGCAGAGAGCAUGGCCUCCCUCCCACCACUCCCCAGAUGGCUAGCCGGGCCUCCGCCCUUCCCUGGGCCUAAGCAUCCCUUGGAGAGGGGGAAAGUGAGGCGGUGGGAUUAUAUUUUCUCUGAAGCCCUUCCCAGCCCUGACAUUCUCUCCAUUCUGUGAACGUUAAAGGGAUUUAAAGAGGGCAAUUUCACCCCCAUUUCAGGGAUCGUGAAAGCAUAGGGCCCUAGACUAUUAGAGUGAGACAGGCUCCUAAGAAUGGCCUCAUCCUAUUCCCUCCAUCUUAUACACGGGGAGAAAGUGAGGCCUGGAUCCAGAUCCCCCAGGUACCUUCCGGAAGGACAGGGAUCAAGUUUUCAGGUCUCCUGUCUCUCAGUUGCCGGCCCUUCCGCCAUCAUGGCUGCUUUUCAGCUCGGCCUAAUCAGCAUGGAAGGAGAGGCCUUUGAGAUGACCUUGAAGGAUGGGAGGGCUUUGACAUUUGGAGAUGGGGUCGAGCCAGACAAGCAGCCUGUGGCAAGAAGACAUGGGUUGAGAUAUGGAAGUGGGCCGGUAAGGAGUGCAGUCAGGAUGGAGAGCUGGGAGGCACCAGUUGGGCACAGUAGGUGAUGGGACUGAAAAAGGUGUGUCUGAGGCGCCCCGGAGGCCAGGCAGAAGUGUGAGGACUUUAUCCGCUAGGUGUUUCUGGCAGAAGAGGCCAAUUAGCAGUGUAGCAGAGCGAUUAAAGACAGGUGCUCUGCAGUCAGAUCAGACUGUGUGUAUUCAAAUCCCAGUUCCAAGACUUUAGUAACUAUAAUUAACUGUAUAACUGUGAGUGGGCUACUUAGACUCUAUGUACCUCACUUUUCUCAUCUCUGAAAUGGAGAUAAUAACAGUGGUACUUUUCUCAUCUUGUGGUAAGGAAUACAUGAAUAAAUGAGAAUACAGGUAAAGCCCUCAAUGCCUGACACACACUAAGGGCUCAGUAAUAGUUAUGAUGAUACGAUGAUAUAACCUAUAUUUUAGGCCAGGCUGGAGGGAAAGAGAGUGAAGGCAGGGAGACCAGUGGGGAUUCUAAGGACGUCGUGUGGAUGAGAGGUAUGGAGGUCCAUGGUGAGGUCCCCUGAAUGAGUAAGGGACCCAGGCAGAGGGCUCAAGGGGGUCUGGGCUGUUGCAGGAAGGUGGGCAGAACUCGUGUUGAGUGCUGGGGAAUGUGAGGGAGAGGUUGAGAAUGGCUUCACUGUGGGAGGCGUGGAGGGACCUCCAUCAGGGUUUGGGGAGGAGGGUAGGUUAGAGAGGUACUUGAGAGGUGAGUUGACCAAGACCUGGGGACAAGUCUCUGUGGCCAGGGAGGAGGAGAGGCAGAGUCCGGGCUGAGCACUUGUGUUUUAGGCUCCGAGUCACUGGCACCUGGGAAGCUAUCUUCAGAGUGGACAGUGGAGGAGGGUUAGUGAGAUGUGGGAGGGGACGGAGGAGAGAAGGGGCUCAGCUGUGCUGAGUGUGGGGUGAGCCCCCUGGGGAUUUGCUAUCAGGCCCGGAGCUCAGGAGCCAGGCCUGGGCUGGCGAUGGGUGUGGGGACCAUUUGAUAGGCUCGUGGUGUGGGCGAGGUCAUCCCAGGGAGGCUAAAGAUAGAGACGGGGCCUUGGAGCCCAGCCAACCCCCUGCUGAGAAGCAGCACCUUGGGAGAAGCAGCAGCCGGAGGGCUAAAGAAACCGAGGCGAGCUGUGGGCAGAGAGGGCAAGGGAAGGCUGGGCUCCAAGGAGGAGUGCAGACCAAGAGAGCUGCAUGCUGGGGACCCGGGGAGGGGCUUGGGGAGAGAGAGAGAGAGAGAGAGAGGGGCUUGGAGGCCACGAGGGACCCCUGCAGAAUGCAGCCUGGAGAAUAGGGGGCAAAAUGCAAGCUGCAGGGAGGCGAGGGAGGAAUUAAUGGAGUGGGGGAAGCGGAGAUGGAGGCAGGUGUCACACUGCCUGGAAGCGUGCUUGAGGAGAAGAGGGGGCCACCUGAAGCAGCCAGACCAGGAAGGCUCUGAGCCUCUGGGUAAAGGGGGCGGGGGGUCCUCCCUAUGUUUCAGGUAGAGAAACCGAGGCUCAUUCGUACACAGAGUUACAAUAAAUUCAUGUGAAAGACAGCCCAAGAUCUCCAACUCUUAAUGUAGCAAUUUUUUUAAAUGAACAAUUGAAAUUGUAUAAUACACACACACAUACACACAUACACACACACUUGUUUUGAUCACAGAAAUAAAACAUGCUUAUUGGAUAAACCUAGAAACGCAUGCACAAAAGUACAAGGGGAAAAUACAAAACUUAACCUGUAAUUCUACCACCCAGAGAUAAGCAUUUUUACCAUUGUGUAUUAUGACCUUCUACUUUUUUCCUCUGCAGAUAUACAGAAAUAGACACUGGGGUCAUGUACUUACUGUUUUGUAGAUCCCUUGUUUCGUUUAGCAACACGUCAUGGACGAUUUUCCAUAGUAUCAAUAAUAUAUAUUCCGUAAGACUAUUUUUUUUUCUCUUUUAGCUCACAGUCUAGUCAGGGAGACAGGACAAGGAUGGGAUCCUCUGACGAUCAAUCAGGGCAGAACAAUGAGGCUGUGUCUUAUCAGGGUGUCUGGGGCUGUGGCUAGAACACCAGACCAGGAGCCCGCUGGACUGGCUCAUUCAGUCCUGGAUUGGCCCCUGGCUCACCAUGUAGCCUUGGGUAAUAUAUUUGCCCUCUGUUGAUCUCAGAAUACCAGAAUCACAAACGGAUUAUGAGCAAGUCUCUUCAGGCCAGCUGCCAUCACUGUGAAAUGGUAGAGGGAGAGGCUUAGAAAAUCAAACGACUCUGACCAUCAUGAUUCUGCAGGUCAGAUAACUGCUUUACGCCUCAGUUUCUUCAUCUGAAAAGUGAGAAUCACAUUUACCUACUGUGCCUGCCAGGACUCUGGUGAGAAUCCAGUUAGAUGAACUGUUAUGAUGCCUAAAAACAACGAAUAUUUGGACAAUAUUUGGGCCACACCAUCUCACUUGCCAUUCCAGCAACCCUAUGAGAUGUCAAGAAUUCUAGAUGCCCUCUGAUGGGAGAUAAACUUCAUGAAGGUUCGGGGGUCUGCCACUUGGUGAAGUUUUCAGGGCCCCUCUUAUCCUGGAGCAGGAGUUGGCAAAUUUUAUCUUUAAUAAAUAUUUUAGGCUUUGCAGGGCAUAAGGUAUCCGUCACCACUACUCAGUUUUGCCAUUGUAGUGUGAAACCAGCCAUAGACAAUAGUUAAAUGAAUAGAUGCGGCUGUGUUCCAAUAAAACUUCAUUUACAAAAAUAGGAGGGGGAUCAUAUUUGGUCUGUGGAUAGCUGUUGGCCAACCCCCACCCUAGAGGAGACACUCCUUCUAAAGUAAAGGACAGACUGUUGCUCAUCACUCCUCUUACCGCUGAGAAGGGGGCACAACACUUGGUUGUAUUUUGAUGGUAGCAUUGACCACACUUGGGAGUAUUGUUUUGACCCUUAAUCAGGUGACUCAGGAGGCUUCCAGUUUUGACUACAACCCUGAGAAAAGAGGACUCUGCAGCCGAUCCAGGCUGUGAUGCCAGCUGUCCUGCUGCUUCAGCCAUGUGACCAGCAGUUACCAUGGUGCCCAAAAUGUCUACGGGAGCAUCCACUUCAGAAGAGACCGCCACUACCACUCCACCCACUUCCCUCCACCACCCUAGCCUCUCUCCUUGGCCAUCCUAGAACUUGCCAGAACCUUAUGUAAAAGACUGCUUUCUCGUGACUGUAUCAGAGAAAGGAGGGCAUCUCCAAAUACAGAAGUCUGACCCUGCUCAUGUCUAGCCCUGCAGAGAGUGGUCGAGGAAGUGAGUGAUGGUAACUGAAGCAGAGAAGGUAAGCAGGGUUCAGAUAGUAGAGGGUCUUGUGUAGCACUAGGAAGUUUGGAUUUUAUCCUGAGGGCAGUAGGAUCCAUAGAAGGAUUUUUAAGUAGGGAGUGACAAUCAGAUUCUAGAAAAAUCACAUUGGUAAUAGUGUGGAAUGUUAGGUAGAUAAGUAAAUGUGGAUACAGGGAGGCCAAUGAGAAGGCUGUUUCAGUAGUCCAGGGGAGAAGUUAGUUAUAAAUCUGUAGAUAUCAUUUAUGGUCAAGUAUUAUCAAAAUAUUUUGUGAACAUUAUCUUGUUUAAUGCUCUUAACGGUCUUGUGAGAUUAGUGUUAUCUUUGUUUUAUGUAUUGCAAAAUUGAGGUGUAAAUCAGGUAAGCAAUUUGCUCAAGGCCACACACAGACUGAUUCAGAAGCUGGGUUUCUAACUGUGGUGUGUCCAAUUUCAAAGCCCAUGAGCUUGACCAGUAAGCUACACUAUUAUUCUACUGACAUGAAUUAUAAUAGGGGCAAUUCAGAAAGAAAGAGGCAGCUAAAUGUAAGAGAUACUAAGGAGGAAGCAUCAGCAAGACUUUGUGAUUGAUGAGAUAUAGAAUCUGAAGGGAAGGGAGGAGCUGAAGUUGACAUAUAGGCAAUGGGGCAGGGCAGAGGUGGGAACCCCAUUCCUAAUUGUUUCUAUGUGGAGGAACUUUUAAAGGGACCUCCUGACCUCUCUCUGCUUCCUCAUUCUUCUUUCCUUCAAGGAGAGGAAAAGUGGCUUAGCUGGUAAGUUUGGAAAAAGCUGAGCUACUUGGUUAAGUUCCUUCCUCUUUUUUCUUUGGGAAUGGUCUACUCUUCCAUGUCUUAAGUUUUAUUGGGUUGGUCAUCAAGUGGGAGGCCUGAAGAACCCAGAGCUCUCUUUGACUGCUUGGGUGUAUCGGUUCAGAUUAAUUUCACUGCAGGUGGCAGAAAUCCAAAACACCAUAGCUUAAAUGGAUUAGAAUUUUUAUUUUUUUACAUAAUGUCCAGAGGUAGGCAGACCAAGGCCAGUGGACUUGAUGGCUUUGUGCCCUCAAAGUCCUUGAGGACCCAGUUGCCUCCUGCUUAUUGCUCAGUCAUACCUAGAGUACAGGGUGCUCUGAGGACGUAAAACUAAUAUAUUCUUGCCAUCACAUCUGUGUUCCAGGCAGCAGGAUGGGGGAAGGGAGGAAGGAGAGAAGAAGGCACAAAAUUUAGGGAGGUUUUCCUUGAAGCUGCCUUGUAGACCUUCAGUUUAUAUCUUAUUGGCCUGUAUACCUCGCUACAGGGAAAACUAGGAAUUAUAGUCUUUACUCCAAGAAACCAUUUCCUCAGCCCAAAACUGAAUGUGAAAGGCAGAAUAGGGAAUAAUCAGCAGCCUCUGCAGCAGUGGGUGUGAGUCUGCCUAAUUCAGGGAUGAACUUAACGAGCUCAUUUUCCCCAGGUCUGAACCCUGUCCUCCAAAGUAGCAUUUAAAAAAACUUUUUUAAAAAAUUUAUUUAUUUUCUUUAUUUUUAUUUUCGGUUGCAUGGGUCUUCAUUGCUGCACAUGGGUUUUCUCUAGUUGAGGUGAGCGAGGGCUACUCUUCGUUGUGGUGCACGGGCUUCUCAUUGUGGUGGCUUCUCUUGUUGCGGAGCACAGGCUCGAGGCACGUGGGCUUCAGUAGUUGCAGUACCCGGGUUCAGUAGUUGUGGCUCGUGGGGUCUAGAGUGCAGGCUCAGUAGCUGUGGCAUAUGGGCUUAGCUGCUCCGAGGCAUGUGGGAUCUUCCUGGACCAGGGCUCGAACCCGUGUCCCUGUAUUGGCAGGCGGAUUCUUAACCACUGCACCACCAGGGAAGCCCCAAACUAACAUUUAUCAGUAAAAAAGCUGACGUUUAUCUCCAUCUCUCUUACUCCUGUAUCUAUUUCUCAGUAUUCCAAGCCUGUUCACUAGAUGCUGGUGUUUGAAGUAAGACUCCCUUUUGCCCCCUAAAAUCAGCUUUAUAUUCAAUUUUGCCCAUUAGAUAAACAAUUUUGCCAAUUAGAUAAACCAUCUCCCUCCUUUUGAGGAGGAGUCGGUAGGGGGUUAAGAGACGGGCAUAAGUUACCUUCCUGUUGCCCACCCCUUCCCACCUGCAAGGAGUGGAGCACAAAUUUCCUGUGGAAACAUUAGGUUAUGGCAUCCCUGUCCCCUCUCACCACCCCAACUAAUACUAUUGGUGACAGUUGCUUGGUCAACCUACAAUAUCAGGGACACCUGAAUUCAUAAGUUUUUUCACAACUGAAGCCUUCAUAGUAUGCUUUUCUUUAUGCCCCUAAAUAUAACUUAAAAAUAACAAACCUACUGUAAUUUAUUGGGGUCUUUUAUUUUAUUUUUUUUGUGGUACACGGGUCUCUCACUGUUGUGGCCUCUCCCGUUGCAGAGCACAGGCUCCAGACACGCAGGCCCAGUGGCCAUGGCUCACGGGCCCAGCCGCUCCGUGGCAUGUGGGAUCCUCCCGGACUGGGGCACGAACCUGUGUCCCCUGCAUUGGCAGGCAGACUCUCAACCACUGCGCCACCAGGGAAGCCCUAUUGGGACCUUUUAAAUAGAGCUCGUAGUCUUCAUGUUUUUAUUCCUUGCCCCCCUCUCAUUCUGAUUUUGAUAUCCCUCAGAUCCUCUCUGAUGUUAAAGAUUGUCUGACUACCUACUUCUUGGGACAGUGUUUAGCUGCUCUUGUUGCUACUGGCUUCCUAUGAGAUUUUGCUUUCUAAAAAGUCUCUUAGAGGGAAUUCCCUGACGGUCCAGUGGUCAGGGCUCCGCACUUCCACUGCCGUGGCCUGUGUUAGAUCCCUGGUUGGGGAACUAAGAUCCCGCAAGCCACGUAGCCCGGCCAAACACAAAAAGGUCUUUUACAUAUUUCUGUAAGUCAUCAUUGAAGGGAGUUGAACUUCCUUAAACUUACUGAUUGAUAGUUAUAUGAGUUGUAGGCCUUUGAGAUUGGCUGUUUCUGAAACAUUUCUCCCAUUUUAAUUCUGCCCUGUUGGUCUCUCUUUCCAGGUUCUUUUAGGGGGAACUAUCCUCUAGAGCCUGAGGGUGAAGAGAGGGAAUUGUUGCCCUAUAUCUGCCUACUGAAUGAUGAGUGCAGAAUCCUGGGUGACCAUGGUCCUGAGCUCUUAAGGCCAGGCCCACCAGGAAUAUGAGAAACUACCAAUGAUGACAUUAGAAGAGACCUCAAAUUGGAAACAUGAAUCCAUCCUGCAAGGGCAUGGCCUCAGCCCUGAGAUUUCUUACCAGUCUGGUAAACAGUUCCACUAUCAGGAGAGAGAAGGACUCCAGGAAGCUCUCAGCCAGCUCCCAGAAGCUCUGCCCUCAGUGGCUAAGGCCAGAGAUGCACAUGAGAGAACAGCUAUUUACUGUGCUGCCAGAGGCAGUUCACAGCUGGGUACAGGAACAUUGUCCAGAAGGUGGUGAAUAAGUGGUGACAGUGGUGGAGGACGUGUCUCAGGAGAGUGGUAGGAAGAUGGCCAUUAGUGGUAGGAGAGUGAGUUCUUCACAGACUGGAGUUAGGGUUUUGGAAGUCAAGCCUGGGGUCAGUACAACUCGUAUCAGUAAUAUAUGUUUAUCUGUGAAGGUAAAACGUCAGCAUUGUAUUCAUUCAAAUUUUUGAGUGCCACCCUGAGCUAGGCAUUAGGGAUGUAAAGAUAAUCAAAAGACAUGCCCCAUACCCAUGUGAAAUUUAUGGUGCAGGAGGAGAUACAGACAUUAAACAAUUUCACAAGUGAGUAAGGAUGGUUUGAUUAUGAAGAACAAGUACAGAGUGCUAUGAGAGCUUAUACUGUUGGGUUUUGAGGGAGCUCAAAAAGCAACACCUCUCUUCUCCCCACCUGAGUUUCGAAGCAAGACACACAGGAGUCAGGCAGAUAAGUAUCAAAAUGUCAGUUCCUUUACUGACCAACUAACUGACUUGCUAAUACAAGCUGGUUUUACCACUUUAGGAAAAGGCUUUUCUACAUGAAGUUGAGGUUGAGACUUGAAAGAUAAGUAGGCAUUAGCCAGGCAUACGGGAAGGGGAUAGAUGGCAGUGGAAACAGCCUUGAGAUGGGAAGAAGGAUAGUGUGUUCAAGGAACUAAAAGAAUGCUGGUAUGGUUGAAGUAUAGGGAAGGAGGGAGAAAAUGGUUUGAGAUGAAGGUAGAGGUAGUCUGGAGCUAAAUUAUAUUUUAUCCUAAGGGUAACUACAAGAUAAUGAAGGUUUUAAGCAAAGAAGUGACAUUCAGUUUUGUGUUCUAAGAAGAUCGGUUUGUUAUGUGGAAAAUAGAUUGCAGUGGAGCAAGAAUGGAUACAGGGAGACCAGUUAGGAGGUCAUUGCAGUGGCACAGCAGAGAGAUGACAAUGACUCAAACGAGGUUGGCUGCAGUGGACUCACUAGAACUUGGUGAUUAAUGGGAUUUGCAGGGGGCAGGGGUGUGGAUUAAGGAUGCUUCUUAGAUAUCCAACUUGAGUACUAUCUACCAAGAGCAAAAAGACUAGAGGGAGAGGUAGAUUUGAUGGAAACAUGUCAGUUUUAAAAAAAAUUAAUUAAUUAAUUAAUUAUUUGGUUACACUGGGUCUUAGCUGCAGCAGGCGGGCUCCUUAGUUGUGGCUUGUGGGCUCCUUAUUUGUGGCUCGCCUGCUCCUUAGUUGUGGCAUGCGAACUCUUAGUUGCAGCAUGCAUGUGGGAUCUAGUUCCCUGACAAGGGAUCGAACCUGGGCCCCCUGCAUUGGGACCUCGGAGUCUUAACCACUGCGCCACCAGUGAAGUCCCAAUUUCAGUUUUUGAUAUGUUAAGGGCCUAUGAGGCACUUGAAUGGGAGGUCAAACAGUUGGAUUUUGUUUUUGAAGCUGAAGAAGAAAGGUCUGGGCUGGUGAAGAUUGGGAAGUUAUAAUAGCUAAAGUAAUAAUAAUUAAAGCUAUAGCAGUGAUGAGAUUGCUCAGACAGAGAGUGUAGAGAGAGAUGAGAAGACGACCUGGGGAUGGAGAUCCCCAGGAGCUCCAGUAUCUAAAGGUCCAGUUGGAUCAGGAAGAGCUGGCAAAGGAGCCUGAGGAGUAGCAGUAUUUGACAUGGAGAGUCUUGUCUUGGGCUCUGUCAGUCUAUAGAAGGAGGACCUCAUUAGGUCUGGUGCCUCAGGCACAGCAGACCCAGCCUCCAUUGUGGGAGUCCAGUGCUGGAGCAGUCCUCCUCGCCUCUAUUGCUCUGCCAGCUCCGCAGGCAUCAGCCUCCCUACGAGAAUGAAGGACCACCACAGGAAGGUAGCUGUACUUGUUAUGUCCAGGUCUCAGGAGAGCUAGAAUCCUCUUGCCCCUCUAACAUCCUUUUGUGACUUGGUCCUUCCCUUCUUUUCUGUUCUUCCCAGGAAUUCCUACCUGGGCUGAUGGGGCCCCCUGAAUUUUUAAAUUGUCCUUACUACCAUUUCCACUAUCCUUAUUUCCCCUGUCCCUUAAACACCCACCACAUGUGUGGAUAGCAGACACUUGGUUACAUUCAAUCUCCCCUGGGUUCUACUCACAAGGUCUAAGUCCUUUUUAAAAAUAAUGUUACUUGUUUGCCUUUGCAUUCAUGUAAAUCUCACCUUUAAUUUAUUGCAGAUAACCUGUUUUUAAAAGGAAGGUUUCUAUGUCUUUUUUAUUUAUUGUGCAAACAAUAAGGUUUGCUUUCUUUAAUUUCUCCUCUACGGGUAGUGAGCCCUCCUCUAUUCUCCUAAAACCCUGACCUGAAAUGUCUUAGUUAAGGUCACAGGAGACUUUUCUCCAGAAUUCGUUUUUUAAAAGUGGGUGAUCCUGAUUAUGUCAGGCCUUAUACUAGUGAAAUAACUUAAGAACCAAGUUAUUUGAAGGGUAAGGGUGGAUGGGCUGGGAUGUGUCCUGAUAUAGGUCAAAGUCUGUGAAAGGGACCGAAUUGCUUAUUCAGCUUUGUAUCCACAAAAUUAAAUCCAGUGACCUAACUCUUAAUAAAUGUUUGAAGGAUGGAUGGAUACAUGGACGCAUGGAUGGAUGGAUGGACAGAUGGUUAAAUACAUGGCCUCUGCUAGAAUAAGAGAUGUGUAUGGAAUAGAAACCCCAAAAUCUCUGAAGAAAUUAAAAAAGAGAUAUGAACUUAACUUCCUCUUGAGCUCUGCUUGUUUUACCUGAUAAGAUCUGCCUCUCAUCUAUGACCUGGCAUGAUCAAACUCUGGCCCUAAAAAAAGCAAAGGAGGACAGGAAAGAAGUGAGAAGAGGGACCACAGCAAGACAAAUGGUAAGGAAUCUAUCCCCUGACGUGCUGGUGCACAGGAGUGAUACAUGUUAAAAAUCUAAGAACUCUUUCAAUACCUAUUCAACAAAAAUUCAAUGUGAAGGAUUAAUCUCCAAAAUAUACAAACAGCUCAUGCAGCUCAAUAUCAAAAAAACAAACAACCCAAUCCAAAAAUGGGCAGAAGACCUAAGCAGACAUUUCUCCAAAGAAGAUAUACAGAUUACCAACAAACACAUGAAAGGAUGCUGAACAUCACUAAUCAUUAGAGAAAUGCAAAU